RNAcentral lists this ribosomal RNA (255 nucleotides) under uncultured bacterium. Its description in RNAcentral is "partial 16S ribosomal RNA". It matches the Rfam family "Bacterial small subunit ribosomal RNA", at positions 524 to 777 of the family's 1533-position model. The record is from RNAcentral.
UACGAAGGGGGCUAGCGUUGUUCGGAAUUACUGGGCGUAAAGCGUGCGCAGGCGGCUUCUCAAGUCAGGGGUGAAAGCCCAGAGCUCAACUCUGGAACUGCCUUUGAUACUGGGGAGCUCGAGUCCGGAAGAGGUGAGUGGAACUCCGAGUGUAGAGGUGAAAUUCGUAGAUAUUCGGAAGAACACCAGUGGCGAAGACGGCUCACUGGUCCGGUACUGACGCUGAGGUGCGGAAAGCGUGGGGAGCAAACAGGG